GCUCUGCCGCCGCCCAUUUCCCGUUCACACUGAUGGCAGAGACGGGGGACCCAAUCUUUGCGGGCCUCCACCUUGGAAGUCCUUGGGGUUAAACCAAAGCGCGGGCAUUUUUUUGCCCGGCGCCUGGCCGGAUGCUCUCAUCCGUUCCCGACAGCUCACCUCGCAGGCGUAGAGAGGUCCU
Molecule: small RNA, 181 nt
Filed under: Arthrobacter alpinus
Lineage: Bacteria; Bacillati; Actinomycetota; Actinomycetes; Micrococcales; Micrococcaceae
Description: c-di-AMP sequence
Rfam family: c-di-AMP riboswitch aptamer (ydaO/yuaA leader)
About the family: This family represents a conserved RNA structure found upstream of the ydaO and yuaA genes in Bacillus subtilis and related genes in other bacteria. The ydaO/yuaA element is thought to act as a genetic "off" switch for the ydaO and yuaA genes in its native state.
Source: Rfam by way of RNAcentral